This 496-nucleotide ribosomal RNA is filed under the name uncultured bacterium. RNAcentral describes it as "partial 16S ribosomal RNA". It matches the Rfam family "Bacterial small subunit ribosomal RNA", at positions 29 to 507 of the family's 1533-position model. The record is from RNAcentral.
AUGAACGCUGGCGGCGUGCCUAAUACAUGCAAGUCGAGCGCACAGAUGAGGAGCUUGCUCCUCUGACGUUAGCGGCGGACGGGUGAGUAACACGUGGAUAACCUACCUAUAAGACUGGGAUAACUUCGGGAAACCGGAGCUAAUACCGGAUAAUAUAUUGAACCGCAUGGUUCCAUAGUGAAAGACGGUUUUGCUGUCACUUAUAGAUGGAUCCGCGCCGCAUUAGCUAGUUGGUAAGGUAACGGCUUACCAAGGCAACGAUGCGUAGCCGACCUGAGAGGGUGAUCGGCCACACUGGAACUGAGACACGGUCCAGACUCCUACGGGAGGCAGCAGUAGGGAAUCUUCCGCAAUGGGCGAAAGCCUGACGGAGCAACGCCGCGUGAGUGAUGAAGGUCUUCGGAUCGUAAAACUCUGUUAUUAGGGAAGAACAAAUGUGUAAGUAACUAUGCACGUCUUGACGGUACCUAAUCAGAAAGCCACGGCUAACUACGUG